CGGAGGUGGCUAGCGUUACUCGGAAUUAUUGGGUGUAAAGGGCAAGUAGGCGGCUAGGUAAGUGGGGGGUGAAAUACUCCGGCUCAAUCGGAGAACAGCCUUCCAAACUACCUGGCUUGAGUGUGACAGAGGAAAAUGGAAUUCUCGGUGUAAGGGUGAAAUCUGUAGAUAUCGAGAAGAACACCAGAUGCGAAGGCGAUUUUCUGGGUCACUACUGACGCUAAAUUGCGAAAGCUAGGGGAGCAAACAGAAUUAGAUACUCUGGUAGUCCUAGCCGUAAACGAUGAGCACUAGGUGUCGGGUCCUUCGGGAUUCGGUGCCGCAGCUAACGCAUUAAGUGCUCCACCUGGGGACUACGGUCGCAAGGCUA
RNAcentral lists this ribosomal RNA (370 nucleotides) under uncultured organism. RNAcentral's name for it is "bacterial SSU rRNA". It matches the Rfam family "Bacterial small subunit ribosomal RNA", at positions 526 to 896 of the family's 1533-position model. The record is from RNAcentral.